Molecule: unclassified non-coding RNA, 2698 nt
Organism: Vespa mandarinia (Asian giant hornet)
Lineage: Eukaryota; Metazoa; Arthropoda; Insecta; Hymenoptera; Vespidae
Source: RefSeq, a predicted model, not a curated record
UUCGUGUCAAGCGAUAAUCUUUUAAUUAUUUUGAUAAGAAGAUCUUUAUAUUAUUUUAUAUGUCAAGGCUUAAAUACUUCAUGUAUAUCAUGCUUUAAAAUGUUCUAAGACAAUUGGAGACUAUAAUUAACUUACUCAAUCUUAUAUAAGGAGUAAAUGCAUUACACGGAAACAUGUUUGGGUCUUUGCGCAAUAAAUUCCAAAUAGUACAAGAAGGUUUAUCUGCAAGUAUAAGAGGUUUAACAGUGGUAGAAAAUCCUAACCAGAAAAAGACUAUUAAAUCAAGAAAUGUUAAUUAUGAUGCAGGUGCAGAUGUUUUACAUUAUUUUCAGUUACAAUGGAAUGAAUUACAUGAAUUGGCAGAAGUAAAUGCAGCUAAAGCUCAAGAAGUUGAUACUCUUAUUACUAACGUUUAUGGUAAAUUGGAAUAUGAAUGGAACAAUAUAACAUAUUUAAACAACACUUUAGCUAUAAUUCCUCAAAUAAAUAAUGAAAUUCAAAAUCUUAUGGAUCAAAUAGGAACACUUGAAGAAAUGUUCGAAGAAGUCGAAGGAGCAUUGUAUAAAUUAGAAGAUCUAAAUGAAAUGAUAGAUUUACAGAGCAGACAACUGGAUCACAGAUUUCAAUUGGCUUUAUAUAAAGAAAAAAGGUUAUCAGAAAUCAAUUCUGUAAAAGCAAAAUUGGCAAAUGAACAUAUUGACAGAGUAUCAAAACAUGAACAGAAGCAACAAUUAAUGUUGAAGGAACGACAAGAAACUUUUGAUGAAGUAUUUAAAGGAGAAUUAGAAGCUUAUAAAGCAACAGGAUAUAUACCUAAAAUACCAACAACUAAGGAAGGUCCAUCUUUGGAUGAAAUAGUAUUGGAUGUAGAUUCCCAAAUGUUUAAUGAAUUCUUAGAGAAUUGAAAAUUCAUUAAGACCUUAUCAAUAAGAUUUCUUUUUCCAUUCUUUAUUUUUUACUCAAUUAAAUGCAUUAUAUUAUUUAUUUAUCUUAUUAAUUAUUAUAUAACUAUUUGUUUUUUUUAGGAAAGAGUAAUAUUUGUUUUUAUUAUUAUAUAUAUAUAUAUCUGCAUUAGUAUGUAUAUGUGGCAAUUAAAUUGACUGUGACAUUGCAUCUUAUUAAUCACUUGCGCUGGAAAGACGUGUUACGCACGUCGAUAUGUGUUUGUCUCAAAAUAAUCAACGACGUAUUGUACACAUUGAUAUAACGGAAAUAAAAAAAAAACGUGUAUAGCACGUCGACUCAGAUCAUUGUCGAAGUACAAUCUCGAUGUGUACCGCGUAACGUGGAGUUAUCGAUACGGUUUCUCAAAUAGAUAUACGUAGUUCAAAAUUCUUACAAUUUAUAAUACAUUUUCUUAUACGAUAGUCAAAUCAAAUAAUAUAUUUAUUUUAUAUUAAUAAUUUCAACCAAUAUUGUAAAAUGAAGAGCGACAAUAGUGAAUUUAGUAAUAUUAUUUUGACAAAUACAAAAAGAAAAAGAUUAAUUAAAAUAGGUAGUGAAGAUAGUAUUAAUGAUUAUGAUUCUGAUAAAAUUGUUUUUCCAUUUCGAAAGCGAUGUAAAAUCAUAUUUGAUGAUAAGGAAAAAAGUAGAAAUGAAGAUUGUAAAAUUAAUCUUACAUCUAAGGAAUGGAUAUGAAAAGACGCUGAAAAUAAAAAGAGAAUAUGAGUCGAGUCAAUACAAAUAAACAAACACGCGUGAUCAGGACAGGUGCGUAUUUAUUAACUUUCAGAUCUUACACCACUUUUGGAUGGUAUUCUCGUAAUGAAGUAAUUGCCGCAAAAGUUUUGUAAUAACUUAUGUAUUUUCGUUCCUGAAUAUUACAAAUGACUAUCGUUUAACCAGCCAAUAGCUGAUGUCCAUCAUAUCUAUCACAUGCUUAGCACGCGAAUGUUUUGUUUAUUUCUACCGACUCGACUCGUUGAACGAAAUAUAAUAGGACAUAACUGUGUAAAAUUAUUUGCAUAAGACUCUACAGAGAUUUCAAGUAACGCUAGUUACGCUGUUACGUACAAGCGACUCCAGAUGGCACUUCUUUCUCAUAUGUGUGUAUCAAGAUAAUAUGACGCCAUACAAGCUUCUCAUUCUGGUCAAAUGUACCGAUAAAGUCGAAUGAAAUCAAGUUUUUAUAAAAUAUAAAUAAAUUGAGAUAUAUAUAGAUACUAAAUCAAUGUAAAAUAUGUUAAACCGCAUAAAAAAGAAGGAUUAUUAUUAUGAUAAAUUACACAGAGGUUUUGUUAAUGUAUGUAUGGCGGCAACAGUAAUAACUGGAACACUUGUGUUAUAUUCAGCGUAUCUCUUUUUUACACGUACUGUACCAGAAAAUAGAUUACAAAUGGAAAAAAAAGAAAAAGACCUUUUAAGUGAAGGAAUGGACUUAGAAGACACUGUAUCUACAUAAUAUUAAAAUAUGAUUAAAAUGUAGACAAUCAAGGAAAGUGGUACUUUUGUAGUUUAGGCACCGUCCACUUUAAGUCCUCUUUUUUCUGCAGAAAUAAAAAGUAGGAUAUGAAAUAUAUUUGUUAUCGUUGGAAUAUUUAUAAAACUAAAGAAUUUUUAGAUGGCUUGUAGAUUAUUGCCAUAUAUUUUUUAAGUAUUCGAACAAAAGAUAUUACUUGUACCAAUUUCAUGCAAUAAUAAUUUUCAAAAGUAGAUUUCAUAAUGUAAUCUAAUAAUAAUAAAAUGAUUGAAACUUUAA